UCGGAGGAAAAGAAACCAACAGGGAUUGCCUCAGUAGCGGCGAGUGAAGCGGCAAGAGCUCAGAUUUGAAAUCGUGCUUUGCGGCACGAGUUGUAGAUUGCAGGUUGGAGUCUGUGUGGAAGGCGGUGUCCAAGUCCCUUGGAACAGGGCGCCCAGGAGGGUGAGAGCCCCGUGGGAUGCCGGCGGAAGCAGUGAGGCCCUUCUGACGAGUCGAGUUGUUUGGGAAUGCAGCUCCAAGCGGGUGGUAAAUUCCAUCUAAGGCUAAAUACUGGCGAGAGACCGAUAGCGAACAAGUACUGUGAAGGAAAGAUGAAAAGCACUUUGAAAAGAGAGUGAAACAGCACGUGAAAUUGUUGAAAGGGAAGGGUAUUGCGCCCGACAUGGGGAUUGCGCACCGCUGCCUCUCGUGGGCGGCGCUCUGGGCUUUCCCUGGGCCAGCAUCGGUUCUUGCUGCAGGAGAAGGGGUUCUGGAACGUGGCUCUUCGGAGUGUUAUAGCCAGGGCCAGAUGCUGCGUGCGGGGACCGAGGACUGCGGCCGUGUAGGUCACGGAGCAUUCCAAUAGA
RNAcentral lists this ribosomal RNA (564 nucleotides) under Pichia kudriavzevii. RNAcentral describes it as "partial large subunit ribosomal RNA". It matches the Rfam family "Eukaryotic large subunit ribosomal RNA", at positions 50 to 498 of the family's 3401-position model. Lineage: Eukaryota; Fungi; Ascomycota; Pichiomycetes; Pichiales; Pichiaceae. The record is from RNAcentral.